This 330-nucleotide long non-coding RNA is filed under the name Brassica napus (rape). RNAcentral's name for it is "long non-coding RNA (BNAP_LNC027149)". Lineage: Eukaryota; Viridiplantae; Streptophyta; Magnoliopsida; Brassicales; Brassicaceae. The record is from RNAcentral.
UUUCAUAAAUCAUUUUACUAAUUGCCACUACUAAUGUUAUCUAUUUAUAUUUUAAUUUUUCUUAAUAUUUUCUUUUAUAAAAUCAUAUAUCAUAAAGGAAUUUAGUAUCAAAAAUAAUAUCUUAAAAACCAAAAUAUAGUGAUUUUUUAUAGAGAAAAAGACCAAAAUAGCACUAAAUCAAGUUUUUGUUCCCAAACUAGCACUCAAGGCCAAAAGUCACAAAAAUAGCACUCAAGGGGUAGGGUUUAGGGUUUAGAAUUUAGGGUUUAGGGUUUAGAGUUUAUGUUUUAGGGUUUAGAGUUGAGAAGUGAGGUUUUGGGGAUAAGAUUU